RNAcentral lists this long non-coding RNA (328 nucleotides) under Bos taurus (domestic cattle). RNAcentral describes it as "long non-coding RNA NONBTAT010944". The record is from RNAcentral. Lineage: Eukaryota; Metazoa; Chordata; Mammalia; Artiodactyla; Bovidae.
AUUGGCUGUGUCCCCAUUUCAUUGAGUAUACUCAUUUUUUGUUUAUUUCAUACUGUAUUAUAAUUUGUGAUUUAUAGGCAGGUAGAGUAAACCUCAAAUGUGACCUUCUUGAAGAACUGUCUUAUUUGUAGUGAGUACUUAAUAGUUACUUACUAAUAUAUAAAAUAAUGAAAAUUCUGCUCUUGAGGAUAUGCGUGAAAUGUACUACAGUGUUAUAAGCACUUUCAAAAGGAGAGUUAGAAAAUUUAUAGUAUAAAUAUUGAUGUAAUUAACAUAUAGAAAGAAGAUCGUGCCUAAUUUCUUUAUGUAAAAAUGUAGAUUAACUAUU